This is a long non-coding RNA of Lutra lutra (Eurasian river otter), 709 nucleotides long. RefSeq lists it as uncharacterized. The record is from RefSeq and is a predicted model, not a curated record. NCBI's taxonomy places the organism in Eukaryota, Metazoa, Chordata, Mammalia, Carnivora, Mustelidae. The transcript has 3 exons.
GAGUGUAGGCUGCUAGAAAGUGUUAGCCUAUAUGUAACUGUGUUUUUCAACCUUUUCUGUCUUCCGGACUUUGUAUCGUGCUUAGAAUGGUCUUUCCCAUUAAAUGACUAUCGUAAUUGACGGGUAAAGAAGGGGUAGGGAGAGGGGCCCAGGAAAAAGCACACAUACAAAAAAACAAAAUGUGGAAGUAACAAUGAGGUACUAUCAGGAAUGGGACGGAAACAUAAUGCAGAUGAGGAAGUACACCUGUGGAAGCUUGGGUUCUCCAGGAAACGCAGAGAUGGAAUUAGAUACACAACAGGACGUGGGGGAAGUAGCACAGUGAAAAAGAAGAACAAGAAACAGAACUGGGCAAAGAGGAGUCUUCGGAUUGUCAAGAACAGGUCUUUGACUGAACCAACUCACCCUGUGUGGGCAGCACUCUUCACUCCAAGACUCACACAGACCAUGGGCUGCCCACGAACUGACUGUUUCUGAGCCAGGUCCAAUCAGACCCCACUGGAGGAGGAGUGAGGGCCUCACGGGAUAAAAUACUAUCGCUUUCUGCUGCCUCAAGGAGGAUAAUUUCCUCGGAAGGACCUGUGGAUACUGCAGGCACUGCCAUGGACGUUUCUAACACACUUCCUUCCAGUACAUCCAGAACAAGAUACCACCAUCACUGAGUAGGAUUUUACCGAAGAACAAAUGAAUAAAUGGACAAAUAGCUAGU